UGAAAAUAAAAUUUGUGAUGCUCUUAAAGUAUUUGAUUAUGGUAUUUUGUCUUGCUAUUGGUGGGGUUUAUAUGAGAAGUUUUAUGGCCUAAAGGGCUUAUUUUUAGUAAAAGAAAUUAGUGUUGAUGUUAAUAUUAUAUAAGUUUUAAUUUUAAGCUAAUGUUGUGCCAGCGGCUGCGGUUAUACAACUUAAAGUGUGAGAUUUUGUGGUAAAAGAGAGUGUUAUUUUUGUUAGAUGAUAGGGGGGAUUAUUUGGUUUUUGGUAGAAUUUUUAUCUGUGUAGUUUUUAUUUUUUAAGUAGUUGAUUAAUUAUUUAUUUUACAUGAUCAUAAACUAGGAUUAGAUACCCUAUUAUUUUUGUGAAAAGGUUUACCGUAGGAUUAGGGGUGUUAAUUGAAAUUAAAAUGAUUUGGCGGCGUGUUGUCUUAUCAGAGGAACCUGAAGUUGAGUCGAUAGCCCGCGAGUAGUUAAUCUUUCCUAUUAGUUUGUAUAUCUCCGUCGUAAGGAGAAUUUAAUAAAAUAUCUUCUGGGGUUUAGAGAGGAAGAGAAGACAGGUCAAGGUGCAGCUUAUGGAGGGGGUUCUUUGGGUUACAAUUUUUGUUGGAAGCACGGACGAAUAUCAGGAUUGAUUUUUAGAAGGUGGAUUUGUAAGUAAUUAUUUUUAUAGGAUUAAUAAGUGAAGGGUGGAAUAACAUGUGUACAUAUUGCCCGUCGCUCUCGUUAUUUUUGAGAUAAGUCGUAACAUAGUUGAUGAACUGGAAAGUGUAUCUUUUUGA
RNAcentral lists this non-coding RNA (776 nucleotides) under Appalachioria falcifera. The record is from RNAcentral. Lineage: Eukaryota; Metazoa; Arthropoda; Diplopoda; Polydesmida; Xystodesmidae.